UUUUAGGCGGACGGGACGGGUGAGUAACGUGUGGGCAACCUGCCUUUUACUGGGGAAUAAUCACUGGAAACGGUGACUAAUACCGCAUAAUAUUCUUGGAAGGCAUCUUCCGAGAAGGAAAGGAAAUAUUCGGUAAAAGAUGGGCCCGCAUCUGAUUAGCUAGUUGGUGAGAUAACAGCCCACCAAGGCGACGAUCAGUAGCCGACCUGAGAGGGUGACCGGCCACAUUGGGACUGAGACACGGCCCAAACUCCUACGGAAGGCAGCAG
RNAcentral lists this ribosomal RNA (269 nucleotides) under uncultured bacterium. RNAcentral's name for it is "partial 16S ribosomal RNA". It matches the Rfam family "Bacterial small subunit ribosomal RNA", at positions 87 to 354 of the family's 1533-position model. The record is from RNAcentral.